RNAcentral lists this transfer RNA (79 nucleotides) under Enterococcus faecium PC4.1. Its description in RNAcentral is "tRNA-Met". It matches the Rfam family "tRNA". Rfam says of the family: Transfer RNA (tRNA) molecules are approximately 80 nucleotides in length. The record is from RNAcentral. Lineage: Bacteria; Bacillati; Bacillota; Bacilli; Lactobacillales; Enterococcaceae.
UGUACCCUUAGCUCAGUUGGUCAGAGCAGACGGCUCAUAACCGUCCGGUCGUAGGUUCGAGUCCUACAGGGUACAUUAA